This 491-nucleotide long non-coding RNA is filed under the name Numida meleagris (helmeted guineafowl). RNAcentral describes it as "lncRNA (ENSNMEG00000018834.1)". The record is from RNAcentral. Lineage: Eukaryota; Metazoa; Chordata; Aves; Galliformes; Numididae.
AGGAAAUUUUUGUGAAACAUUAUCUAUGCUGUGUAUCUAAAGGGUCCCUUCCUUUAUAUUUUGCUUUUAGACUUCCUCUUAAAGAAGUGCUGUAAAGUCCUGCAUAUACACUUAACCUGAGGCCCUGCUACAUCAUCAGUUCCAUCUACAUAUCACUUGAGCAGUUCUUCAUGAUGUGCAGCAGCUGCCCUGCUGGGUCACGUGCUCGUGCAGUACUGUGCUUGUCACCUGGGCAGCCAUGCUCAGCAUCUGCGUGGCCCUUGCACAGAGAGGCUGUUAGCAUGUCAUCUUCCAUACCUGUGAUUCAGGAGGACAUGACAUACAAUAAGCUUCUUCUGGCCUUCUCUCAGGAACUUUAUGCUAUUGCCUUGAACUUCAACAGCAUAGAAUCUCUAAUGGCUGCAGAUGUUUCUCCCAGAGCAUGGUAUGGAGGCUUGGAGCAAGACGUCUUUCCCACAGAUGGCAAAGUGUCAAACGAGUUCAGGAGAUGA